GCCCAUGCUCAGUUGGUAGAGCAUGGUGUUUGCAACGCCAGCAUGGUGUGUGCAACGCCAGGGUUGUGGGUUCGAUUCCCACGGGGGGCC
This 90-nucleotide transfer RNA is filed under the name Salmo salar (Atlantic salmon). It matches the Rfam family "tRNA". Rfam says of the family: Transfer RNA (tRNA) molecules are approximately 80 nucleotides in length. Their secondary structure includes four short double-helical elements and three loops (D, anti-codon, and T loops). The record is from Rfam by way of RNAcentral. Lineage: Eukaryota; Metazoa; Chordata; Actinopteri; Salmoniformes; Salmonidae.